RNAcentral lists this ribosomal RNA (568 nucleotides) under uncultured Dechloromonas sp. RNAcentral describes it as "bacterial SSU rRNA". It matches the Rfam family "Bacterial small subunit ribosomal RNA", at positions 62 to 625 of the family's 1533-position model. The record is from RNAcentral. Lineage: Bacteria; Pseudomonadati; Pseudomonadota; Betaproteobacteria; Rhodocyclales; Azonexaceae.
UCGAACGGCAGCGCGGACUUCGGUCUGGCGGCGAGUGGCGAACGGGUGAGUAAUGCAUCGGAACGUACCUUUCAGUGGGGGAUAACGUAGCGAAAGUUACGCUAAUACCGCAUAUUCUGUGAGCAGGAAAGCAGGGGAUCGCAAGACCUUGCGCUGAUGGAGCGGCCGAUGUCAGAUUAGCUAGUUGGUGGGGUAAAGGCUCACCAAGGCGACGAUCUGUAGCGGGUCUUAGAGGAUGAUCCGCCACACUGGAACUGAGACACGGUCCAGACUCCUACGGGAGGCAGCAGUGGGGAAUUUUGGACAAUGGGCGUAAGCCUGAUCCAGCCAUGCCGCGUGAGUGAAGAAGGCCUUCGGGUUGUAAAGCUCUUUCGGCCGGGAAAAAAUCGCUUGGGUUAAUACCCUGAGUGGAUGAUGGUACCGGAAUAAGAAGCACCGGCUAACUACGUGCCAGCAGCCGCGGUAAUACGUAGGGUGCGAGCGUUAAUCGGAAUUACUGGGCGUAAAGCGUGCGCAGGCGGUUUUGUAAGACAGGCGUGAAAUCCCCGGGCUCAACCUGGGAACUGCG